GGUGGAGUGGUGUUUGAAUUGGCCACAAAUGGCAUACAUUUUAUAGGAGGAGUCAAGAGUAGUGACCAGGGAGAGGGCAGAGACGAGGGGGCUGAACCUGGAACAUCUGAGUGCCGCUGCCACUGCCCUUCGUGUUCUGUCAAGCAGACUCGCGUGGUAACUGUUGGUCUACCGUUGACCCGGUAGUAGCAUCCCAGCAGGCAAGAUGGAAGGUGGAGGCGGGUGAUGGGGCGUGGUCCUCUCAGGGUUCUCAACGGUGGUGCAAAUUGCUGGUGGGAUCCUUUUAUUUGUCCCGCUGCCGUAGAGUGGGCAGCCUGGAGACAUCCCCACCAUUUGCUGGCCAACUUUGCACUGCUGUCCUCCUGGGCUGAAGCUCCGCUCACUACAUCCAUGGGGGAUCAGCCUGGAUCAUGGUGCUAGUACCUGGCCCUCUGUAACUGUUCCUCUUCCUCCUCCUAUCCUUCCUGCCUCUACCAGGAGUAUUGUCUUUAGCUUUUGGGCAAGAGGAAGAACAACUCUCUGUCUCUCCAAGGAAAUUCGUUGGUGACCGCCUGAGAGAACUUGCCCUUCGAAAUUAAGUCCGGAACAACUGAAGAAUAUCCACCCUGAGCUGAUUAAAAACAAAACAAACAAACAAAUAAACAAAGAACAAACAAAUCGACAGAGAUCAUAACCAGGUAGGAAAGUCAAAACAAAGGUAAGGAUAGGAGUGGCUGCCACGCUUCUCUGUGGGCCUGCUUGUCAUUGUGCUCUGUCGGAGCUCAGCCUUUUCCCCAGGGCAUUUUAUAAGCCACCCCUAACCUGAUCAGACCCACUGGACCAGGACCUCAGGAUGCUUUCCAAGGCUGGAUCUCCUAUCUCUACCAGUGGGACAACUGGCUGGCACUUAACUGCCUUCAGUUGGCGAUUUACAGGAGAAGGAGGGCAGAGCCCCAGAGUUCAGUUCCUGCUCAGUUGACAUCAUUAAAGUUGUCCAUCAUUGACAUCAUCCUGUUUAUGGGAAAAUACUGUCACAGUCUAUUUUGCUGUGGAGUUAUUUUGAAAGUCUGAACAGUGAGUGGUCAGGUGCCUCAUUAUGUGAAGGCUGCUUCAAAUGUGAAAGCUUUUCACCAUAAAAUUAGUAGAGCCAGUCCCUGUUUAUAAAAAGAAACUUUCUGAAAGCCCUGGCAUAAGCUAAACCUAUAGCGACUCCUGGAAUCUGACUUCUCCUUCAUAGCUGGAAUUCAGUGCUGUCCUUCACACCAUCCGGAGGAGAAUGCUGUAUGAUUGGCUGGUGAGCACUUGUAUAUGAAAUGGAGGUUUGAAUACAUGAAGUAUUUGCAGUCCUUUUACAUACAUGAAAUAUUUGCAGUCCUUUUACAUAGUCUGCUAGCGAAGGCAGCCUAAUUAAGGUAGAUUAAGCCUUUUACUUUCCGUGCUUCUUUAAAAAAUUUUUUUUCCCUCUAAUUCAAGUGUUUUGCUUUGCACUGGAGUUUUGUUUUUUUGUUUUUUGUUUUUUUUUUCUAACCAUCAAUGUGUUUGCUGACACGCCCUCCUAGGGGACACACAUUAGUUUGCUUCUUUGUUUCCAUUGAGUUUGGCUAGUGGGAUGGGGAAGGUGGGAUGGGGUGUCUCCCUUCUCCCUCCCUCUCUUCCAUUUUUCUGAAACAUUCAUGGAGGUUACAGAACAUGGUAAUUAGAGUAAAGGAAUUAAAGUAAGUUAAAGGCUCACUAUGGUUUUGAGAGUUUUUCAUGCCUUUGAUACAUAACACAUCGACAUAUGAAACAUAUAGAGUCCUUUAAAUGAGUACUAUUACGCUGCUGUCCUGAUCCAUCUUUCUCACUCAUGUUCAUGUGAUCUCUCUGAUACUGUUUUCUGGUGGUUCUUAUUACAGAGAAGGCUAGCCACAUGAGGCACACGGCUGUAAUUUCCACAGUUGGGAGCCUGAGUCAGGGUACUGUUAGUUUGAAGCCAUCUUGUGUCACGUAUCUCGUACCCUCAAACCCAGGGAGGAAAAGAAAAGGACGUUAACUUUGUGGUAUGAAUCUCAUACGUGACCACUUUGUCAGCCCAUUGCUAUUUUGCUGGGACUCAGAAAAUGAUACCACAAGCCCCAUAGUAGGGCCACUUUGGGUUCUGAUAACCGUGUCUUUUCUAAGUAUGGAGAGAGGCCUUGUGACUGAGAGAAGACCCCUUCCCAGCAGGACUAAAUCCCAUCAGAUAGGCAAGACUGGAUUUCUAGAAAGAGACUGAAAGGUUGUCCUCUCAGGUACCCACCCAGACUUUUCAUCUGGUCUAAGGGACUUCCCAACAGAAUUUGUCUACACUAGAGGACAAUAUUUGUUCACCCCUCUAUUCCUUUCUUCAUAUAAGUAGCUUGUGGUGACCUUCCACUUCCCCAAUCUUUAUUCCUGCCUGUUAAUAUAGAUGGCUUUGCUUAUCCAGUCUUUCUUAAAUGCAUAGACUUUGUUUAUAGUUCCCAUGUUGUGGGUUUUUUUUCCCUCUGGGUAAAUAAAUUCUGUUACAGCCAUGGUUUGAUGCUGGCCAGGUAAACAUGAUAUGAACUAAACUAUAACCCCAGCCCCCAAAAUAAGCAUGUAAAAAAAUUUUCACACUCAGUGCAAAGUGCCUUAUCUUUUUAGAAACAUAGAUUCUACUACUGAAGGUACAGACAAAAGUCUACUGAAGGUACAGAAAAUGGAAACAUUUCUGCAACAGUACAGCUUUUAAAAACUGACUCAAAGAAACAGAAAGUAUAUAUAACAUUAUCAUGAUUAUAGUAGAUUUUGUUGCUCGAGUGAAAUGCCCCAUGCUGGGUAUUUUAUUAAGAAGAAACAUUUAUUAAGCUCACCAUUGAGAGGGCUCAAGCACAUUUCCUCCAGUGAGGAAGACAUCAGUAUAGGGAAACAGAGGAUUCUGUACAACAAGAAAUCAUAGAGAGACAGGAAGAAAGGAUGAGUUGCCUUCUUUGUCAUCACCUUCUCUCAGGCACCAGCUCAAGGCAGGUCCCAUAUAAAAGGCUCUAGUGAUCUGUUAGUUCUAACACCUUUGUGAGACAUGUGGUCACAGUGGCCAGUGGCUUGGCCUUCUGUAUCUCAGCCAUGCAGCUCACAUGGUUUCUCUUGUAGGCCUCUCCUUAAGGCUUAGAUUUGACAGUCCCUUCAUGUCUCUCUACCGCAUUACAAUCAGUGGGUGGCCCCUGACUGGUGAUGUGGUACAGAAAGUGGUAUGUUUGUAGACAUGGAGAAGAUUUCUCCUACAUUUCCACGCCCCUUCAUCAGACAGUUUUCAUAGUGCAGUGCUACUACAAGGGCAAGUUUGUGGAUGCCUUUACAUUGUCAGUGCAUGCUUGCCUGACCACCUGCUGCAAUUGCUUUGGAGGAGUUAAUAGGUACUUCCAAAUGUGUGACCAAAAUUCUGUAUUUGAUAAACUUAGAGAGUACAUUCCCCCUCCUGGAGAACUUUAAUUAUAUACAUUUAUCUGUGUUCUUCAGAUACCUACUCCAUAAAUAAUGAUUUACCUCUCUAUAUUAUUGCCAGCAUUUUAGUUUAGUUUUGGUUGGGCAUCUGAUUUCCUCUAAUGUUCCUGUGGGUCAGAUCAUGAAGUAAUGAAUAGAGUGUUAUGUGCUGACACACACUAGUUUCUAUCGUGUAGGCAUUCAUCUUGUGGAUGUCUCUGACAUUCUCCUAUGAUCAGAACUGUGGUGGUUUGAAUAUGUUUGGCCCAUGGGAAGUGGCACUAUUAGGAGGUGUGGCCUUGUGGGAGUAGGUGUGGCCUUAUGGAAGGGAGUUCAUCACUGUGGGAGUGGGCUUUGAGGUCCUGUGCUCAAGCGAUGCAGAAUGUGGAAAAGAGCUUCCUCCUGGCUGACUUCAGGUCAAGAUGUAGAACUCUCAGCUCCUUCUCCAGCACCAACCAUGUCUGACUGGACACUGCCAUGCUUUCCUCCAUGAUGGUAAUGGACUAAACCUCUGACACUGUUAGCUAGCCCCAAUUAAAUGCUGUCCUUCACAAGAGUUGCUUUGGUCAUGGUGUCUCUUCACAGCAGUGAAAACCCAAGAGGGGUGCCUGUGUUCAAAUAUGGUAGGACACCCUACAGGAAGGAAAUGCAACCAGGUUUAUACAUGUUUAGUGGAGGGCAGCAGCUCAGACCACAGACUUAGGAAUUAGAUUGCUAGCAUGGGCCAGUCACUGCAGCUAUUUAACUUUGGUUAAUGUACCUACUCUGAUUUUGCCUCAUUUUCCUUGUCAUUAAAUUCAUGAUAAUAAUACAUUCUUCAGAGUAUUAUAAGAACAACGCUAACAACAAACUGGUGAAGUACACAAAAUAUGUGAGUGCCUUACCAGCUAAUUAACUCUGGUCCUGGAAGCAAAGGUAACACUCUUAUAGUACAUAAGGCUCUUAGUACUUGUGGAUAAGAGUGAGUACCCUCUGUCCUGGAUGAGAUGGUGGGGCAGGAAUGAAUGCAGCAACUCCAAUGAAGAGAUGGCCUUAGUUAUAGAUGUUCUUAAACGGAAGAAUUCUGAAUUCUGAUUUAACAUGUCCUGUGUGUGUAACAAGUUUAACCUCUUCUUGUCUUCCCCUCCCUCUCCCUUCCUCCCUUUUUCUUUCCCUGUGUGUUCCACUUCCUCUCCUCCCUUUGCCUCACUCCCUCUCUCCUUCGAGCCUCCCUAAUAAGAGAACCAGGAACAUGAUUAAAAUGUCCUCACUGUUGUUUAUAUUGGUAUAUUCUUAUAUUUAAAUUUAUGUUUUUCUUUGACAGCUUUAAAAUGAUCUUCUCCGGCAGUAACAAAUUUCUGCUACAGAAAAUGGGUGAGAACUAACAUUGAGUUUUCAUUAAAGCAGCUAUGAAUAAUGGUACAGAAGGAGUUAAUUCUGAGAUACAUUAUUUGAUCCAGAAAAAGGCUUAAAAUUUCAGUUUGUUAACCACGAUAUUUAGUAUACUAUCAACACUAUCCAAGUCCUCUAUAAAGACAGAUGAGUUAAAUUUCAAAUGAGAAUUAUAUUUACAUACAUUAUCAACUGAGAUUCAGCCUCUGUACUUGUUUCCUUGGAAACUUAACUAAAAUAUUUAAAUGCUUGAUUCAGUAAGACAAAGAUACAAAAACAGAGUAAUACUAAGCUAUCCUGGAUGAUUUUCUGCAGGAGAAAUAUGGAUCCUGUACUUAAUUUCCUUGGUAAUUGUAGGCUCCUGUGGAAUAAGCAGGAGAGAGGGGGGAACAUGUAUUUAUAUGUGGGAGGAUCAUCAGUACCUUAAUUUUAAGAUAAGGCCUUCCUGUGCAACUCGGAAUGCCCCCAUAGAUUUGACACUCUUACCUCCAGACCAGAGAGAUGGGAUUAUGCGUCUGCAGCACUAGGUCUAACCAGUGAAGACUUUUUUUGAAAUGACUUAAUUGCGAUGGUUCAUAUUGUCAUGCUACUUAGUGUUAUAGGAGAAGGGAAACAGCUACGCAAGCAGUGCUUGUCCCUAAAGGAACAUGGCUUAGCUUUCCUAUUGUUGACUUUGAUUGAUAUGUAAAAUAUAUACAUAGACGAUCAAAACAGACAGACAGACAGACAGACAGACAGACAGACAGACAGUCCGGACCAGAUACCUGUGCCUUCUACUGGCCUUGUAACAACCCAUCUUUGUACACGCUGUAGUGCAUCCUCUUGCAUGUCAAUGACAGGAUGUAUACAGAAGCAAGUUGCAUUAAUUUUUUUCUCUGUUGCAGUGAUAAAAACACUGACCACAAGCAAUGGGAGGAGAGCUUUUAUUUGGUUACAGGUGACAGUUCAUCAACCACAGAAACUAAGGCAGGAGUCUGAAGGUGGGAGCUGAAGCAAUGGCAGGACUGGUACGUGAAGUCUUGCUCAACAUUGCUUGCUCCAGUUGGUACUCUCUAUUUUUAAAAAAACAAUUUUAUUUUCAAUUAAAAUAUACUUACAUCCUAUAUCCCAGUUUCUCUCCCACCUUUCUCUUCACUCACAAAUUCAGGACCCCUUUCAUUUUAUUAUUGCUGCAUACAUACAUGCACUCAUACAUACAUGCACACAUGCACACAUGCAGCAAACAUAUAUAUUAAUGUGAGAAAAAAUAUGUAAAUAAAUCUGGCUGGGUUCAUUUUGUGCUGCUUGUAUGUAUAUGUUUUUAGAGCUAACCCAGAAACACUGAUAUUGAAUAACCAAUUAAAGGGUUCAUUAAACUAAUUCUUGUUUUGAUUGAUUGACUAUAGUCCUUGACUGGCUAUAGUUUUUCAUCUGGCCCUCUUAUAUAAUCCAGGAACAAGCUGCCAAGGGUUAGUAUUGCUCAGUGCACUAUGCUUUCCACAUGAGUUAUCAAGGAAAUGCUUGAACAUAUUUUCCCACAGGCUAAUCUGAUGGAGAUAGUUCCUCAGUCAAGGUUCUCUCUCAACCUAUGAGAUUAACCUGUGUUAAACAGAAAAAGAACUACAAAAUCUUGAGUGAAUGGUGAACAAGGAAGCAAAUCUAAUUAGCUCACCAGUUCAGGGAUGCAAGGCUUACCUGGGCUCCUAGGGUUCUAAGAUCUAUUCUGACCUGGGACGUCAAUUACAACUGUUGACUUUAAUGGACUAGGAGAUCUGCACAGGAACUAGGCAUGGAUAGUGUACUCCCAAUAGACACUACCCGGAGUAGACAUUCUCUACCUACCUGGCUUCUAUUUCCCAAUGUUGUGAGAAGCUUCUAAAAUAGUGCCACUGUUUCAUGACUAAGCAUGCACUACCCAGACAGACCCUACUGGAAACAUCAGGCAUUCAAAGGACAGGGCUUUAAAUCCUGAAGAGGAAACUAGCACUCUGUCAUCCCUUCGACAAACAACACACUGACUUCCAACAGUGGUGUGUUUUAAUAGCAAGACAGGAAGACACACUUGAACCUGACCUCGAAAGAAAACCAUAAAGGUUAUACCAAGUACACUGUCAUAGACAAAAGGAAAAUGUCCCUGAGCACAAAGCAGUGCAGAGAUCCCCCCACUCCCUGUCUGAUUCACAAAUCACUCUUAAGUAGCUGGCCACCUUUAGGAAGCGCUGGUUCAUCAGAGCAAACUCAUCUUAUCUGCUUCUAGUCUGCCCUUGAAUAACCUGUCACCUUCACCUUCUGUCUCACAGGUGUCCCACCAGAAGCUUCAGGCUCAUCUCAAGGAUAUCUUGUAUUUGUUGUACCAUCAAUCAGGCAGAUUUUCUUUUUUAUAGGUCUGUUAUCAUCAGGUUCCAGUGCAUAUCCAGAUGAAUAGGUACCAAAGUAAAUUCCUUUGCAAAGUGUUUUACUGCCUGGGUAAAACUGGCUCACCAUGGUCUUGUGGCUUUAGUAUCUCUCUCAGGUUUCCAUUUUGUCUCCUGCCAGUUUGGCCUUACUUGGAAUCCCAAUACUUUAAUUUUAUGUAAAAAAGGGCUUUAAACAUGUGAAUUGUUGGGCAUCCUUAUUAUUAUUCCUUUCUAUGAGAAGAUUCAUGUGACGGUUAUUGAACUCAUGCUUACGCCAGUGAGUAUCCUUUAGCUUCUGCAUGUCUCCUUAAGUAAUUUGAGUUUGAAGGCAGAAGAGAAGCUCUCGUCUUGUGGCCCAGGCCCUCCUGAGCUUCUGACUUUCUUUCCAUGUGUGCUGUGACAUUUUGUCCUCUGCAAAUCUCUUGGUCUUCAAGAGCCCUUUCCUUGGUUUCAAGGAGUGGUAUUGAGAUAUUGUUGAGGAGGCCAUUGCUGACACUGUCUAUGUAGAUCGUGCCUGUGCUUGCCUACAAAGAUGGCCUGGGAGCGAGCGGUGUCCCUUUUGUCAUUUUCACUGUUUGUCUUCACUAUCUUCUCAGUUUAAGAAUUGUUCUCUUCUGAAUUCCUGGUUUCACUUUUGACUGCCUUGUGUUGUAUUCUUGUGACAGCCGUGGCAUAUUGUUUUGUCUUGAAUGGUGUUGUUUUUGACCCAUGAAACUGUCACACAGCCUUUGAUAUUUCUGUCAGUAUCCACUGGGAAUUUAUUUAUUUAUUUAUUUAUUUAUUUAUUUAUUUAUUUAUUUAUUUGAGAUCUGUGGUGGUCAGGGUCCACAUGAUAACCAGUUUGAUCAGCCUUAGUAACUGAAGACCCCCCUCCAUGUUGUGUUAGAGGCACCUGCGACCCUUCACACCAUGCACAAAUGUCACCUCAUCGCAGCAUCUUCCUGAGGGGCUCAUCACGCUCUUGUUGCUUUAGCUUCUCGAUCAGGUUUCCAUAUGUCUCCUGCCAGGCCCUUUGCAACCAAGAUCUAUUUCACCUUGUUCCUGUUUCACCACCUUCCAAUUCCAAAGCUCGGCUGGCUUUUCAGACUUCACAUAGGCUCCUCCCUCAUCUUGGCAUUUCACUUUCCCUGAAUAUUUUGGCUCAGGGGUCCGUGCUGCUGGUACAGUUGCCAUGUAGAGUGACUACUUGGGUUGCCUUGGGUCACAUGCCUGGCUGACUUUUCUGGUACAGCCUUCUGGUUUCAUAUCCAAAGUGAAGGUCAGCUGGAUUCUUGGUUGGUGUUCUUGUGUUAUUAUCCUAUGAUGGCCAAAGGAUCUUUUAGUCUGCUAGGAGAUUUCUUAUCCACACUGCAUGUGGUGAUUCAAGGUCAAGGUCAUAAAACACUGGAUGAAGAGCUCAAAUUCUCUCUUUAUCAGUGGAGUUUGCUCUGGCAUUAGGUUCAGUGAGAACCUGAAGUCAGAUGGAGAUGAGGAAUCAAUGAGGAUUUGUACCAUAGUGAAUUCAUCAAUUGAACCUUGUCUUCAUGGUGGUAGUCGACUAAUCCCAUUGUAAAAAUCUCCAUGGAGUUCAGGUAUUACUCUUUCUGUUGGGGAAUAAAUGGGGCUCCAGAGCACAAGGAACUUCUGUAGACACCAAAAAUGUGGAAAACACACUAAUCCUUUGGGCUAGUAUUCUGAAGACUUCACACAUUGACAUUGUAUUGUGCCCAGUUGCAAGGGAUGCCAGACUGCUGCUUGCCUCAGCUGAUGUCCUGGCUAUGAGGCUUUCAGGUUUCUUAGCUGGUUUUGAUGCAAUUUGAUGCAUCAUGGCAACAUUCUAUGAGGGCAUGUCCACUGUCAUUGAAAUCUAUAUCUCCAAAUCUUGUUUCCAUAUGUGGAGUUAUUGUCUGUUUCUUCCUGUUCUAAAGGCUGAAGCAAAUCCACAGUCUUAUCAGAACUCAAGGGGAAAGACAUGUAGCUCUCCAGGAAAGGUCUCCAGGAAAGUGUAAAGUCUUCUAGAAAAAAAGCAGAUGUACAACAUCUUGUUUUUCUCAACUGUAAAGAGUAAAAAAUACAUAGUCAUCCUGGGUGGAAUUUAUACUCACAUCCCUUCCACAUUGCUGAAAAGAAAAUUAUCUCCAGUUAUACAUUUUUUUCUUUUCAAUUUUUCUUUUGGUCUUGUGAUCUUAAAAUAUGAUUGUUGCAAAAUGUUUCAUUGUCUUAGGUAUUCGUAGAAGGGGAUGGCUCCCAACAUUACGCAGAAGCAGGCUAACUACUAAGCUCUGCUUUUUUAUGAAACACUUGCUUGCUGGAUGACUGAGGCACCUGCUACUCAUCUGUUAGGAGGUCAACCCUUGCCCACACUCAGACAGCAACGAGUUAACGUAGCUCCUCAAAAUUAUAACUUUGUGGAUUUUGUCUUUAUAAUCUUUGAGCUAUCAGGGGUUUUAUUUAGAAUAUUCUCUCUGAUUUGGCCUAGCCAGUCUCUUUUUUAUAAAAAGUCUCUAGUUUAGUAAAACCAACACUGAGUCAGACUGGAACUUACCCCAGACCUUCAACAUUUAUAAUCACCGGUGAGAUAUGGGUACCUUGGUACAGAAGCUGCCUUUUUUUUUUCUGAACAGCCUUAGUUCCCCAUGGACUCUUGGUCUGAGGGCCUAUAAAUUGGAGAGCCUUAUUAGUCCUGUGAGAGUUACAGGGAUGUACCCAAUGCCUAGCCCUUAAAAUCUCUACAGAGUUUAGGUACUUCUUUUCCUGUUGGGGACCUCUACAGAGGUUUAAAAGCCCUCUUGAGGGCUUCCAAUCUGGGGGCUGAAACUUAGAAUGGAGAGGCCCAGUCCUUUGGGAAGGGACUGGUGAGUUGCCUGCCUUGGGGCAAAGGAACCUGAGAGGCUCAGUGUUUAGGGGAUCCAUUGAGAGAUUUUUCAACUCCAAAACUUGUGAAAAGAUGCAUCUGAAAGCCUCUGGAGCUAUAGGUAAGGAUUUUGUCUCCUGUAGCCCUCAGUAAUGAGAGAGACUUGUAGCAAGCUGGGUGCAAUGUUACUUCCUGAGGCCAGAGGAUCUCUAGGAUGCAGUGGACACUGGGUCUUCCAUACCUAAUUCUGAAGGAAAGGGAGGGCACCAAGUCCCAGUUCACCGUCUGCUGUUUUUCCAUUUUGUUUGUUGUGUCACUUACAUUUAUUUUUAAAUCCAAAAUUAUGGGUCAAAAGUCUUCCAUUCAUGACAGCCUGUGAACCUGAUGAAGUCUCAUUUUAAGGACUUCCAGAGAAAAGCUCAGGAGGCUGGUGAACAGUUCUAUGUCAGGAAACUACUUGCUUUUCUCUGCCCUGAUUGGUCUUCAUUCCAGGGGGGCUGGCCAGCUGAAGUCUUCCUUAACCUUUCUUUUAUUUCCAGGGUGCAGCAUAUAAUGCAGGUUUUAGUAAAGCAGGGCAUCUGGAUAGACUUUCCUUCCCUCUGGCCUGGGCAUUCUGGGUAGAGGAGCCCUCUCCCUCGAUAAGGAAGUAGCAGCCAAAUUCUCCCCCUAAUGCCACCAUUUUCAUUUUAGAAGAAACAAAUGAAACCAAGGGUCAGGACAAAAUCUGCCCCCAAGUCUUGUCAGCCCAGCCAGAUGCAGAGGAAGUGCUGCUGCCUUGUGUGCAUGCUCUGUAGGUCAGAAAGUGGGACUGGCCACUGGCGAUGCUCCCUGGCCCGACUCACUUCACCCAGCCCUUGGAUCAGUCAUCCUAUGCAUGCAGGUCCCUGAUUAGAUGGAAAAUUUUCCCUCUGGGAACAAUGCUGAGGCCUGGCCACACUGGAGCAGGUUUCUCCAUUGGCCCUAGUCUCCUGGUCAUUUUCUUGUAUUUGCUCUGGUCCCCAGUCUCCCUCCGAUUUUCUCUCAGAAACCUCAUUCCCACUCAUUCUCACAGACUCCCUUUCAGGGGUAUGCUCUACCAACCAUGGGGCUGAUCGCAGCAGGAUGUGUUUCAUGUGAUGCUCCCGAACAUGCUUUCCCAGCAUCUCUUGAUACAGGGGUUUUCUCCUUGAGAGAGGUUUUCUCAUGUGGAUAAAUCCCAGUAGGAUGGGAUGGGGGAAACUUGCUAGCUGUUUAUGAUAUAUGUUUCUUUCUCUACUAGUGAUCUAUAUAUUAGAAAAACCAAAUUCUCCCUGUCUCAGGAGAGCCCCAAAGGUUUGUUUGUUUAUUAAUUAAUUAGUUUAUUUAUUAAUUUAGUUUUAAUGAGAAAUAACGUUUUACAAACACAAGCCCACUUGGGCAGCCUGUCAGCAGGUACUUCAUCCCCCAAGCCUCAACAGAGAAAAGGAACAGAGUUCAAUGGGAACCCCAGAAACAAGUCCUGGGAAGACCAACCUGUGGCCUGCGGUUAUCUAAGAUUUUUUUCCCUGCCGAACAACAGGGUUGGGACCUGGCUUCUGGUGAAGGUAGGGAGUCUCUCAACCCCACUUUCGCCAGACUCUGUUAGGGAGCUUCAGGGUAAUAGCCAGACAGCCUACAAAUUUCUUUAACGUAAACAAGAUAACUCUGGGUUCAGAAGAGUCCCCAUCUGAUUUUUCUGUAGUACCCCCUAGAGGCCUAUGGGACUUACAUCCAGAUUGACCUGGAGGCCACAGAAAAAAACAGAGGAUAUUAAUGUGGAUUUUGUUUCUUAGGCUGCACCAGAUAGAUAUUAGGAAGAAAAUUCAGAAAAUAGGAGGAUUUUAAGAAAAAGUAUUGACAAAGUUAAUACCCCAGAUGACACAGACUAGAGGAAACUAGCUAGGAAUAUGUUGGCAGCAAAGCGAGGAGAAGGAGCUCAGCUUUCAGGAUCUGCAAUGGAAGGCCAAAAACUGAGGGAAGCAGGCAUAAAAAGGAACAUAUUUUCAGGAAAAACUAGAAUGCACACUGCAAAUAGAUAGGACAUUGGAAGUGCCCAAGAUGUAACUGACAUGCACUCUGCUGUGAAAUGGGCCAUUGCCAAAAUGAAUGCCCAAAUGUAGAGCACAGGUUCACAUGUGCUUAAGCUAAGCCCAAACUGAUGUGCUGCAGGCUUUGACAGCAUCCCCAGAGCCCAGGGUUACUGUGAAAGUGGGGAGAGGUGGACUUCCCUAAACUUUCUGGUGGCUAUGUGAAGCAUCUACUCAUAUCUAAAGUUACAGGCAUGCCAAAUAAGGGAAAAAUGGUCAAUAAAAUGAGGAGAUGCCAGUUCUCAGAUCUGCUCCUGGAGCACAAAACAAAACGCCCUUAAAAGAAAACAACAACAACAACAACAACAAAUGAAAACAAAACCCAAGGCAAAACAAAAGUGUUGACUUGGGAAAGAUGACAGUUGUCCACUCUUUGAUGGUCAUGCUUGCAUGUCCAAACCCUCUACUGGAAUGUGAUCUGUGCCACAAACUAAGAGUAGAAAUACAUCUUGAAAAGAAUGAUGUUAUAAAGAGUAUUAGAUUAACAUGAAAUUCUGAUAACCACCCCACUAGGUGAAGAAUAUAUUCUACUAAACAACCCUGCUGUGGAGAAAAAGUCAGACUUACUAAAAGACUUAUAACAAAAAUUUCCUUCUGUCUGGGCUAAAACAAACCCACCAGGACUCACAGCCCACCAACCCUGUCAAGUGGACCUGCAAGGCUACUCUACCCCUAUCAAGGUAAAGCAAUAUUUUAUGACAUGGUGAGCAGAAUAGGCACACAAAGUCCACAUUGCUGAAGCUGGCACACUGGUACUUCCCACUCCCAUUGUAAUAUUCCACUGCUGCUCAUAAGAGAGCCCUUUAAGAGAUGAACAAGAGAGCAUAAGGCAUUCGUCUAAUAGUUCUAAACACCAUACACUUCUGAGUUCAUUCCUUUUCCACACCAGAAGGCAGGUCUAUACUGUUGCAGAUUGCAAGGAUGCCUUUUCUAAUAUACUUCUGGCUAAGUCAAGCCAGUUGACAGUUGCCUUUGAAUGGAUUGAUGUGGGAUAAAGGACUAACGGCCCAUUGAAAGAGACUAGAUUGCUUCAGGGUUUUAAAAAUUGUUCAACUUUGUUGGUUGAAGCCCUCCACAGAAACUUGCAAACGUCAAAUGUUACACUCCUGCAAUAAGUGAAUGACCUCCUGGUAGCAGAAUCUGAGAAUAGUUGUCCUCAUACCACAGGAACACUGCAACAACAGGGAUAACAGGUCUCUGCAAAGAAGGCUCAGCUCUGCACCUGUGAGACAACAUACCUGAGGUAUGAACUGCAAGAAAAUAAGGGGUUACUAUCCUCCACAGAAUCCAGGCAAUUACUCAGGUCCCAAGCCUGAGACAGAAAUACAACUCUGGGAGUUCCUUGGGCUACAGGAUAUUGUGAGCUUUGGAUACACAGGUUUGCAGAGCUGAUCAAGCCACUAUGCUGACUACCUGGGGCACUGAGCAAGACUUUGGCCCAUGUCCAAAAGAAAAGCAGGUUUUUCCAGUGUUAAAGCAGGCUCAGGAUUUGGCUCCAGAAUUAGCACUGUCAAACAUUGACAAACCAUUCCACUUGUUUGUGGAUGAGAGGAAAGCCAUGGCCUGGGGGUCCUACCCCCCAAAUGAAGACCCUGGAAGCAACCUGUUGCUUGUCUCUCUAAGAAGUUGAAAUAAUCUGAUGGAAGCACCAAGCCCAGCAUGUCUGAGACCUAUUGAUUCCAAGUCCUCCGAAUACAGAAAGCAGACAAGGUGACUCCAAGGCAAGAUCUGCUGAUCAUGGCUGCAUAAGAGGUGGAAGCUCUCUUAGGGAGCACACUGAACAAGUGGAGGGAUGACUAAUUCUCCUACAACCCCUUACCAGGCCUUGCUCCUAGACAAGCCAAUGUCAUCAAUCAAAUGUCAUCACACAGCUAACCUGAAUCCAGCCACGUUACUGCCACAAGCAAUGACCCCACCAUCCAACAUCACUGCUUCACAUUUCAGGGACAGACAGAGGCAGGACAGGACUGGGAUGCCAUGGACAUGACCAGACAUGGUCAUGUUUUCAUGUGGUAGCAGUUUUGUCCAGGAAAGCACAAGUUAUGCCAGGGCAGCUGAAGUGACUAUGAACCAUUCUCUUUGGGUGGAAGUCCUUCCCCUAGGGACUUCAGCCCACACAGCAGAGCUUGGUACACUCCCUGAAGCUCUCAGACUGGGAAAAGGAAACUAUAAAUAUACUGACAUAGAUAUGCCUUUACACUGCACGGGACCAUUUACCUGGAGAGUAUCUUCUCAACAGCAGAGAGAAAGAUAACCAGAAAUAAGACUAAGACCCUGGACCCCUGAGCUGCAGUUUGGGCACCAAGAAGGAUUGCUAUCUAUCAUCCAUUGUCCUGUUCACCAUAAAGGAGAUUCGUUAGGAGCGACAAGAAACAGGAGGGCAAGUUAGCCAGAGAGGCUGCCUUAAAAGAAGUAAAAUGCCUGCUGUCACAGAACCCACCCUGCCAAGACUGUUUUCACAAGCACCGGAGAGACACCUGGAGCAUCAGCUCCAUGAAGGGACUCACCUGGGAAAACCAGGUCACCUGAACCUCGGAGGAAAAGCUUCCUUUUCACAGGAAUGGAUCUGAUGAUACAGGAAACUGUUUGCACAUGUCAAGCCUGUAAACAGACAAAUGCUUCCACUGUUAAGGGGCCAGACACCCCAGUGAUUAGGAAACAAGGCUUAGGAUCGGAUGAAUAGUAGAAUGUAGAUUUUACAGAAGGCAGUCCGGGACUAUAUGGAUACAGUUAUUUACUUGGUUUUUUGUUUGUUUGUUUGUUUGUGGAUACUUUUUCUGGAUGGGUAAAGAUCUUUCCCAUCAAAACAGACUGCUCACAUUAUAGCUAAAACUUUUUAGAUAGAUAAUGCAUAGCUUUGGACUACCAUUUUUCAUAUGAGAGGACUGAGUUAGCCAGAGCCAGGCAGACUCCAUGACAGGCUUCAAACUGGUAGUUUGGAAGACUAUAUUUAAAUUUCUAUUUCCUAGAAAUGAGAACCUGGAUCCAGAAACCUGGAUCCAGGACACUUUGUCAUUUGGCCUAAAGUAAGAAUAGGUAACUAGAAUUAGUAAGCAAAUCCCUGGGAAGUCUCCAGGGCCUAACCAAUUAUAGAAUCAAUCAGACCCACAGAGAUAGAGCUAACAAAUCAAGGUAAACAGGCACAUACCCCUCCCUGGAAUUCCCCUGACAGUAAAAGCUGGGCCUGCAAGACCACUAGGAGUCUCUAUUCCCGAACAGGGAGACCCCGGCGUGCAGGAAACUCAGCUGAAUAUGCACUCUUUGCUUUUGCCUAUUUGAGUCUGGAGCCUUCCUUCAGUGACUUUUAGACCCUAACUCAUAGUGUCAGAUGACAGGCCAGCCUUUAUAUCUAAUUUUACUUAAAGUAUUUCUGCUGUUCUGGGAAACAAUUGGAAAUUAUAUUGUGCUUAUCAACCCCAAUAUUUAGGAUGGGUAGAGAGAAUAUAUGGGAUCAUAAGGAGACUUUAACUGAAUUUACCUCGGAGACUGGCGAAAGAUGGGUGGGGCUUCUUCCCUUUGCCCUCCUUAGGGCUUGAUUUGUACACCUUAUGUAAAAGGACUGAGUCCAUUGGAAAUCCUUUUUGGGAGGCCUCCUCCCAUCCCUCAGAUAGCAUUGGAACUAACUGCAGAAAUUACUAAUCAUCAAUAGCUUUAACCUAUUGUUAAAGGCCUUGAAGACGACUCAGGAGACUGUGGCCUCCUCACUUAAGGCUACUUUCCAGAGCAGCCUCAUCCACACCCCUUCCAUCCAGAAGAUACAGUGUGGAUCAAUAGACAUCGAACUUGGGCAUUAGGACCUCGCUGGAAGAGACCUCAUCGGGUCAUUCCGAACACCUCCCUCCCUUCCCCCAACUGCUGUCAAGGCAGAUGAUAUCUGCACCUGGAUCCAUCUCUUGAAAAUCAAGCCCAUCACAGAUGGAGAAGAUGGCCCAGGUCCAGAGGAAGCCAACAGCUCAGCUCUAGAGAGCUGGGCCAUCACCAGAACCUGAGGGGAAUCCACUAAAGAUAAGACUGACAAGGGUUUUAACCUAAUGACACUAUAAUGCCUAAUCAUGUUGCCUUCUGUACUGUCCUGGGAUCAAACUGGAAAGCUCCUCUAUCACUUCAGAUGUCUGUACUCAUAGUAAGUUUAUAAUUAGGAACAGCUGGAGCCACUCUCCAUGAACCCAACACAAUAGCGGAUACUAACUACAGAGCUUAGGAUUUGUUUCUAUUGGAAAAGUCUACUGUAAAAACUGAAGGGACAUUAGACUCUUUAGCUGAGGUAGUCUUGCAACAUAGCAAGGCACUUGAUAUGCUUUAUGCAGAUUAGGGGAGUUACUGUAUGACCUUGCUUCCAUACAAACCAUUCAGGGAUUGUUGGAGAUAAUUUGGCUAUGCUUGGGAAAUGUUUCAUAGAAUGGGCAAAGACUCUGCAUGGAGGAAAUGAAGGGCUCCCAGUUUCAUUUUCAAGUUCCUCUUGGCUGAUCCUUCUGUCGUCAGCUGUUGCAGGGCCUCUAGCCCUUUGGUUCCUACUGAUUACUUUUGGCCCCUGCAUCUUUAACACCAUAAAUAUAUAAAUUCACGCUUAGGAGGUGUUACACUAAGUUAUUGAAUCCCAAUAUGGACAGGUACCCACUGCAGAGUCAAUCAAGCCAUAGUUCUUGGGGAAGGUAGAAUAUGAUGGUGAACAUUAUGCUGAGAGGUUAAAUUUACUGCACCACGCUUGUAGAAACAAAAUUGUUGUUAGCUUGUUUAAGACAUGAGGAAAUUGUUCCUAUCUUGAAUGUUAGCUUGAAUAAGACAUGAGGAAAUUGUUCCUAUCUUGAAUGUUAGCUUGUAUAAGACAUGAGGAAAUUGUUCCUACCUUGAAUGUACCCUGUCAGCUGGCCAGAGAUGGACCACUUUCUAGUACUACUGGGACUGCAUAUUUCAUUAAGUCAUUUUUUUGAACAUUUGAGUAAUAUCCCAUUGUGUAAAUCCACCCCAUUUUCUCUAUUUAGUCUUCUGUUUAUGGCCAUCCCUAGUCCAACUGAAUAAUUUAAAGAUUCAAAAGAGCUGGAAUACAACAACUCUCAAUUAGCUAAAAUUUGUGACCAGACACAGCAAAAAAUGAAAAUAAAACCUGAUAAUUGAA
Long non-coding RNA from Mastomys coucha (southern multimammate mouse), 17217 nucleotides. RefSeq lists it as uncharacterized. The transcript is spliced from 2 exons. The record is from RefSeq and is a predicted model, not a curated record. Lineage: Eukaryota; Metazoa; Chordata; Mammalia; Rodentia; Muridae.